RNAcentral lists this ribosomal RNA (468 nucleotides) under uncultured bacterium. Its description in RNAcentral is "partial 16S ribosomal RNA". It matches the Rfam family "Bacterial small subunit ribosomal RNA", at positions 28 to 507 of the family's 1533-position model. The record is from RNAcentral.
GACGAACGCUGGCGGCGUGCUUAACACAUGCAAGUCGAACGGAAAGGCCCUGCUUUUGUGGGGUGCUCGAGUGGCGAACGGGUGAGUAACACGUGAGUAACCUGCCCUUGACUUUGGGAUAACUUCAGGAAACUGGGGCUAAUACCGGAUAGGAGCUCCUGCUGCAUGGUGGGGGUUGGAAAGUUUCGGCGGUUGGGGAUGGACUCGCGGCUUAUCAGCUUGUUGGUGGGGUAGUGGCUUACCAAGGCUUUGACGGGUAGCCGGCCUGAGAGGGUGACCGGCCACAUUGGGACUGAGAUACGGCCCAGACUCCUACGGGAGGCAGCAGUGGGGAAUGUUGCACAAUGGGCGGAAGCCUGAUGCAGCAACGCCGCGUGCGGGACGACGGCCUUCGGGUUGUAAACCGCUUUCGCCUGUGACGAAGCGUGAGUGACGGUAAUGGGUAAAGAAGCACCGGCUAACUACGUG